AUGUUAGAGAUAAACAGAAUAAACAACCUUGAAACCAGCACAGACCAAUUAUGGCUUCUGCUUUGGCAACGGGGCAGAAAGACAGAGACUUUCUACAAUCUCAGAAUCAUCAAUAGCACAGAUUCCGACAGUGAAGUGCCUUGUGACCCUUGCAGGCUGGCACGUGUCAGUUCUUGGUGGCCAAGCUGCCUGCAAACCAAGCAGAGUCACUGGUGUCAACAGUCCAGAGAGAACUGCUCGGGGGCUUUUACCUCCCUCCAGCUUCACCCAAACCAGGCCCCCACUUCACCAUUCCAAAGGAAUAUUCACGCAGAGACAGACGGGGUGAGGAACCUGAUUCCCAGAGAGCUGAGCACAGAGAGGCAGAGGACUCUGCUAGCAGCAAGCAGGAGAGGAGCUGCCAUCUGGGACUGCAUGUGCUUCCCAGACAGAUGGCUGCCUAUUCUGGUCGUGUUUUAUUUCGAGCAAUGGUUCAUACAGCAACAGCGCUAGUGUGAAAAUGGGAUGUGACAAGAUGCGUAUUGCUUGCACCUUCUGGAAAGUUCAGAUAAAACCAAGAUGUACAGGAUGUAAGAAUCAAUAUAAUUAGGUAAUUAAGAGAAGUGAAAGCCCCCUGGUUUAAUGCUGCAUUGUGCUGGUGCGUGUUGCAGGCUGUGUAUGUGUGUGUGAUAUGGAACAUGCAUAUGUAUGGUUCCACAUUUGUGCAUGUCCCCACUGCAAAACCAGUGAGAAAUAAUGAAUGUAUACAUCCAGCCAUUAAAAUAAACACAGCUACCUGCUCCAGCAGGCAUUUCAGACAGAAGUGCUGACAACCACACACUCUCUCACCAUUUUCACAGGGCAGGAAAUUCCCUCUGUCGUGCUGGAGCAGGACACAGGGCAAGGUCCUGGUUCUGCCCCCAUUCCUCGAACAUUUUUUUCCUGCAUUCUGCAUUGCAGAACACCAACAUCUAGAAAUGUCAGCGGAAAGAAGAGCAACAUCACAUGCUGCUCUAGCUGGGGUCAUUGCCUUGCUCUCUACAGAGUCAGGAAUCCAGCUCUGGGCAGUACAGGGACACACAUCCACAGAGAGCUUGACACAUUCCCAAGUACAUGGAAGUGGUGAAACACAGCUAUAAAACCUGUUUCCAAGUUGUUUUGCAGCUCAGGUUGCAAUGAAGGUUUGAACUGAAUGUGUUAAAAGCCACUGGUCACACAUAUGGAGCCUGCUGGAAGCUGACUUCCCUCCCCCAUGGGAGCCCUGAGCAGCUCACAGCCCAACAGCUCCCAUCUCCCACACACAGGAACUCACAAACUCAAAAAGGAGGAAAAAAGAUGGCAAGAAAAGAAUUCAGGACAAAAGUACCUGCCCAAAAGCACAGGUUCAGGUGUAAUGGGCUUCUGGAAGAGGCUGCUGCUGUGCUCAGGUACAUCUGAGGCUGCACUUUCUUCACGUUCUGCUUCUUCAGCCCCAAGGGCAGCGAGGGUCCGUCUCAUUUUGCACCAUGUGGGACUUAGGCAGAAGAGCAAGUGAAAGAAAAGUAUUGGUUGAGCCACACCUCAACGUGCAAAUCCCAGACAGUGAGGUCCUGUGCUCAUGGCCCCAAAGCCCAGCUCCUAGGAAGCUCAAGAAAAGCAGAGAUGUCCUCUAAAAUAGCAAUGAGGAGCUGUGUCUAUAAUCAAAGUUCAUUAAAAUGGGCUAAUGCAGAGCAGCUGGUGGUGAAAGACCCAAAUGGAGUGUAGCAUGCUGAGGUUAUCAGCAUAUAAAGUCUUUGCAAAGUUAUUAUCAGAUAGGCAAGAGAAAAUUAUGCAGCUCUCCUAAGAUUAAACUGCAGGACUGGGACUCAGUAAGGGGUGGGUGGCAGUCAAUGCAGCAUUCCUGUGUCCUGUGCAGGGACACCAAAUCAUACCCCGAGAUAAACUCAGGGAUGCACAAGAGGGAAAAUUCAGCUGAGGAGCAAGAGAUGAGCCAAGCAGGUCAGAGCACCCUGCAGGCAGGGAUCCAAGGGUCAGCAAGUGAAAAACCUGCCACCUCCACGCCCCCAUCACCAACUCUGAGUCAGCAAAUGGGGUUUUUGUACUUGCAGUUCCCAAAGUACAGCCAAAAGGACGUCGCGUAGAAACCAGACCGUGUUCGGGGAGUUUUGGCAACUCUGUCUUUUUAUCACUUUGCAGCUCGCUGGGUGUCACUCAGAGUGGAAAGCUUCGGUCCGGCUUUAGGUGUAGCUGUGAUUUCACACUUCUGCCGAGGCAGGGACUUUAUGUGCCGCUGCUGCUUAAUUACUGAGGAUGCUCAGGGAGGUGGGGCAGGCAGAGUUGGCUGAGCAGGGCUGGGGUGGGGAGGAAAACAUCCCCACACGCGAGCGGGAUUCGGGAGGAAUAAAUUCGGAGAGGAGCCGCAAUAAAUCUCCCAGCCUGGCCACUGCGGUGGGAGUUGCUUUUCCCCCUCCCCGCAACAGGGAAAUUCUGCUCUUUCCACGGGGGGUGGGAAGUGGCACAGGGCUGCAUUGAAAUGUAAAUUCACUCAAAUUAUUAAGCACAAGAGAGCAGCUCCUGCCAGCCCUUUGUUCCGCAGUCAGAAUGUGUAAUCUAGAAGAAUAAAUAUAGUCAGAUAUCAGCUAAACAAAGAGACCCGGGGCCAUGCAUAUUCAGCGACCCUCUCCCCCAGGACAUCCCUUCCCCCUUUAUCAGGGAGGCUCUUUCUGCAGUCAACAAUUGUAGAUCAAAAUGCCCUCAUUAACCAGGGCUGAGCUGCAAACCUCUCGCUGCUCCGUCCUGAGGGUGGGUUCCUUUAUUUCUCCCCAGGAGCAGAGAUGUUCCCAGCCCCUGGCCACCUCUGCUGUCCCUUCUCCCUCCGGGGGACAGGGCAGGGCUGGCCCUGGAGCCCAUGGGUGCUGCACUCCCAUCAGAGGGAUGGGAUGGGGUGGCUGCGGGUCAAAGUCCCGGAGUCCAGCAGCUCUUGUGGCUCCAAAAACUGUCCCACACUUUGCUGCCAUGUCCAUCACUGUUCCAGCCAGGAGAACCCCCCCGAGAGAGGCCAGAAGUCACCGAAUAUACCCAAUUCUGGCCACUUCAGAACAUGCUACCUGGACAGACUGAUGACCUGGAGACUCACAGAGAUGUUUUUUUUUAAAAAAACACCACCCAGAGAAACCAUUUCAAAUGUUUUUUUCCCCACAAGCUCCUGACUCCCUGCAGCCACCACAGCAGCUCCAGGUCCAACAGAGACCUGCACUGCAAGUUCACCCUGUGCUGUGGUGACCAGGGAUGUCCUGCUGUGUCCACUCUCUGGUCAUAGAGGGCCAGGUGACCACACAGGCACCAAGACAAGCUGGGAACAGUGGGAGGGACAGCCUCAGUUUCCCAGAGCCCUUCCAGCAGCACUGGGGAGCUGCAAACCAAGGAUUGCCUCUGCACCAAGCACAGGGAGAGGUGGCUGGAGGGGAAAAAAGCAGCAGGGGAGGAAAAGAGGGUGUUCUCCCCAGCACCUAAACACAGCUUCUCCUCUCCAGUGGUGUCAGUCUCACACCUGUCACUACCACUGAGCCUGCUGCAAGGUUUAAAAAUGAGGUAGGGGAGGAGGAGGGGGAAAGAAAAAAAAAAAAGGAAAAAAAAUCAAUUUGGCUGGUUUUGAGUUAUAUGAAUAUAAUAAACCCUGAGUGUCCUGCUUUUGGAUGCAGUUUGUGCUUCCAAUAACUCAGCAAUAUAUUCAUUAAACAAAGAGAGGUAAAAGCAGCAAGCCAUUAAAAAUAAAGCACCAGGAGAGGGAAGGCCAUACAGGCUGUAAAUAUCUUUGACUCUUUUUCAACCUCCAUUUUCUUAUCCCUGCUCAUUCACUAAUUGACCUCUGGAUCCUGCAUCUCAGAACAGUUUCCAUCACUGCACUUUGUCCUUCAACCACAGAUGCAGCAAAGGAUCUCAGGCACUCUCUAAAUGCAGAAUAACUCACAGACAUCCAAAGCAGGAGACAGAGUACCUUUCCCUCAUUGCCCUGGUGCUGUGCUGCAACACCCCCUGUACAAGGAUACAAAACCAUCAAAGAUCAGGCGUCCCACAUGAAAAAAAUAUGUCCAGUUUUAAUCUUUUAAAGCACUGGGCACAGCCCUUCUGUACAAACACACAAAAUCCUACCUUCUGGCGUUUCAGCUUCAUUGCACAAAGUCCACCCAGAGCUAUGGAGACAGACUCUUCUUUCUGAUCCAUAUGGAGGCGUUCUGGCCACAGGGCACUGCUCCCUUUCCUGGCCCAGGCAGGGCUCAGCUCCAUGUGGCAGCCACCAGAGCCUGACGUGCUGAUCCAGUCUGAGGGACAGCACACACACACUGCCACCAAACCACCUGCAAAAGGAGGCUUUCAGCACCACUCUGCAAGUCCUGAAGACCCUCCAAGUUUAAUUCUAGUACCAGCAGCUUGCCAGAAGGGUGUCUCUGACCCAGCAUCUGAAGUUUUUUCUUACCUUGCCCAAUCUAAGGGCUUUAACUCCCCAGUUAAACACUAACUCCAGUCACAUGCCACAGCAGUGAUUCAGAAGACAGCACCUGGCUGGCUCAGCACCUUCCAAAAGCCUCCCAAACAGCUGGGAGAGAUCUCCCACUGGCAGGGAGGGAAGUGGUUACUCAGCAGGAGGCUCAGCUCCAUCUCUGCAGCAUCUGGUUCUUCUCUGGAGCUCAUCACCCUCUGCAUGGUCUCAUUUCUUCACAAGUUCCAGCAGCAUCUCAGAGCAUCACCCAACGUGACAGCAAAACAGCAAGUGAGGCUUCCCUCACAUUUUCUGUGAUUAGCAAAACUGCUUGCUGGGGAGGGCAGGAUUCAGUUUGGUGAGGGCACAGGGGUUUUCCUGCCCCAAAACCCAUAUGAGACUUCUCUAUUCCUUGCCUGCAGGCACUCAGAAUGCCACUUUUCCUCCUUUCUGUGGGAUUUAAAAGAGCAGCCUUCUCAUGUU
Molecule: long non-coding RNA, 4921 nt
Organism: Taeniopygia guttata (zebra finch)
Lineage: Eukaryota; Metazoa; Chordata; Aves; Passeriformes; Estrildidae
Source: Ensembl